This 215-nucleotide long non-coding RNA is filed under the name Elaeis guineensis (African oil palm). Its description in RNAcentral is "long non-coding RNA (EGUI_LNC074167)". Lineage: Eukaryota; Viridiplantae; Streptophyta; Magnoliopsida; Arecales; Arecaceae. The record is from RNAcentral.
GAGCUGUCUCCCAUUUUUCUUCUAACAACUCGAGGUUGGCCUUGAGAUCUCGUGAGUUGCGCUGCUCGUCGAAUGCCAUGACUUGCGCCGACGGAAGCUUGAGUUUAAUUGGGAUAACGUCCUCUGUUCCAAAGGCUAAGGCAAAGGGGGUCUCCCCCAUGGACAGAAUUUGGGUAGUUCGGUAUGUCCAUAACACAUGAUAAAGCUCGUCUGCC